RNAcentral lists this ribosomal RNA (120 nucleotides) under Pyrenochaeta sp. DS3sAY3a. Lineage: Eukaryota; Fungi; Ascomycota; Dothideomycetes; Pleosporales; Cucurbitariaceae. The record is from RNAcentral.
ACAUACGACCAUAGGACCCUGAGAACAAGGCUUCCCGUUCGCUCAGCCAUAUUUAAGCAGGGUACCGGCAGACUAGUAAUUGCGUGGGUGACCAGCAGUGAAUCCCUGCUGUUGUAUGUU